This is a transfer RNA of Ophiophagus hannah (king cobra), 72 nucleotides long. It matches the Rfam family "tRNA". Rfam says of the family: Transfer RNA (tRNA) molecules are approximately 80 nucleotides in length. The record is from Rfam. Lineage: Eukaryota; Metazoa; Chordata; Lepidosauria; Squamata; Elapidae.
GCAUUGGUGGUAUAAUGGUGAGCAUAACUGCCUUCCAAGCAGUUGACUUGGGUUCAAUUCCCAGCCAACACA